GAUGAACGCUAGCGGCAGGCUUAACACAUGCAAGUCGAGGGGUAUAGGUUUUCGGACCUAGAGACCGGCGCACGGGUGCGUAACGCGUAUGCAAUCUACCUUUUGCAGAGGGAUAGCCCAGAGAAAUUUGGAUUAAUACCUCAUAGUAUAACUCAAUCGCAUGAUUGAGUUAUUAAAGUCACAACGGCAAAAGAUGAGCAUGCGUCCCAUUAGCUAGAUGGUAAGGUAACGGCUUACCAUGGCUACGAUGGGUAGGGGUCCUGAGAGGGAGAUCCCCCACACUGGUAAUGAGACACGGACCAGACUCCUACGGGAGGCAGCAGUGAGGAAUAUUGGUCAAUGGACGCAAGUCUGAACCAGCCAUGCCGCGUGCAGGAUGACGGUCCUAUGGAUUGUAAACUGCUUUUGUACAGGAAGAAACACUCCUUCGUGAAGGAACUUGACGGUACUGUAAGAAUAAGGAUCGGCUAACUCCGUGCCAGCCGCCGCAGUAA
Molecule: ribosomal RNA, 494 nt
Filed under: uncultured bacterium
Lineage: Bacteria
Description: partial 16S ribosomal RNA
Rfam family: Bacterial small subunit ribosomal RNA
Source: RNAcentral